AGAGAUCAUGGCUCAGAUUGAACGCUGGCGGCAUGCCUUACACAUGCAAGUCGAACGGCAGCGCGGGGCAACCUGGCGGCGAGUGGCGAACGGGUGAGUAAUAUAUCGGAACGUACCCUGGAGUGGGGGAUAACGUAGCGAAAGUUACGCUAAUACCGCAUACGAUCUAAGGAUGAAAGCAGGGGACCGCAAGGCCUUGUGCUCCUGGAGCGGCCGAUAUCUGAUUAGCUAGUUGGUGGGGUAAAGGCCUACCAAGGCAUCGAUCAGUAGCUGGUCUGAGAGGACGACCAGCCACACUGGAACUGAGACACGGUCCAGACUCCUACGGGAGGCAGCAGUGGGGAAUUUUGGACAAUGGGCGCAAGCCUGAUCCAGCAAUGCCGCGUGAGUGAAGAAGGCCUUCGGGUUGUAAAGCUCUUUUGUCAGGGAAGAAACGGUGAAGGCUAAUAUCCUUUGCUAAUGACGGUACCUGAAGAAUAAGCACCGGCUAACUACGUGCCAGCAGCCGCGGUAAUACGUAGGGUGCAAGCGUUAAUCGGAAUUACUGGGCGUAAAGCGUGCGCAGGCGGUUUUGUAAGUCUGUCGUGAAAUCCCCGGGCUCAACCUGGGAAUUGCGAUGGAGACUGCAAGGCUAGAAUCUGGCAAGGGGGUAGAAUUCCAC
RNAcentral lists this ribosomal RNA (661 nucleotides) under uncultured Oxalobacteraceae bacterium. RNAcentral describes it as "bacterial SSU rRNA". It matches the Rfam family "Bacterial small subunit ribosomal RNA", at positions 8 to 672 of the family's 1533-position model. The record is from RNAcentral. Lineage: Bacteria; Pseudomonadati; Pseudomonadota; Betaproteobacteria; Burkholderiales; Oxalobacteraceae.